UCUGCUGGUGCAAGUCGUGACGGAUCUUCAGGUAGAUUAGGAGCACUUAUAGGCUCUAACUUGACACCUUUAUUAAUGACUUGCCUGGGCUAUUUACACGUUUUCUUGCUCUGCCUGAUACACUAAGAGAAAAUCGAACACUUGUAAGACCUUAUUUUUUCCUUUUUUCCCUUUUUACAUUUCUUUUUUAAAAUUUUUCUUUUCCUCUCUUAUUCCCUUCUACUUCUCUGCAUUUUUUUUUUCAAAUUAAGACAUACUUAAAUAAAACUUUAGGGGCAUAUAAUUUGGAUUUGUGUGAGUUUUCUGAAACAAACCUAUGUUCAUUUUGGAGUGUAAUUAUUGUGGCUCCAUAAAUUUCUGUUCUAUUAAAAACUUAAGCUUUAAAGUGGCCCAAAUUCAACUUCAACAUCACAGCAUCAUCAUCACAGCACAACAUCACAAUAUAUAAAUAACACCUUGAAUAACUAAAUUAUUCCCCAAUCCUACCUUCAAAAAUGUAUCUAAAGAGCCAUUCUCCAUAUACUCUGUCACGAUCAUCACUGGUUUACCUGAAAAGAAAACAGAGUGAUAUAACCUGCUGCUCUUCGAUUUUGCAUUCUUAUCUGGCAAAGCUUACCCAGAAGUUUUUAUUAGUGUCAAAAUUGUAUAUAUAUAUAUAUAUUUAAAAUAUUUAAAUAAAAAUAUUAAAAAAUAAAAUUUAUUAAAUGAAAGAUGCUAUAUGAGAAAAUAUCUAGAAAACAGUUGCUAGUUUUAUCAUUCCACAUUUUCACUAUAUUUUAAGACACACCCCUUUACUCUUUAAUAGAAACAUAUGACAUAGUGACCAUAUUUUUAUAUUAUAUUGUUAUUUCACAUAUUUCCACACAUCCAUUAAAGAAUAUCCUCAUUAUAAAAUAUUUUAAAAACUAUAAUUGACACUAAAGUAGAAUAGACAAUUCAAUGACCAUUUUUAGUUUUUCAUAGCACAGAAACACACACACAUACACACACACACACACACACACACACACUGUAAAGCCAAACUUUAUACUAUAGCUUUUACCAGAUUUUAGUUUGUAUUUAGUUUGACACUGAAGCCCCAUGCUCAUAAGAAUUUCCCAUGUAAGUUAUUUGGAACAAAUCUUUACCUUCAUAUUAAACUUUAAAACUUUCUCCAAAUUCAAAAUUUUUAAGAAA
This 1176-nucleotide long non-coding RNA is filed under the name Homo sapiens (human). Its description in RNAcentral is "HSALNT0073046". Lineage: Eukaryota; Metazoa; Chordata; Mammalia; Primates; Hominidae. The record is from RNAcentral.